CAUGCAUCCGUCUCCAUUUUCAACAGGCAAAGCGCCGCGACAGGAGCACCAAGCCGCCCUCGUCAGCAGCCGUGCGGUAGCAGCGAGUGCUCUACAUGCAAAGCAGCGAAAUUAAUCUGCGGAAAUAAGUGGAUAUUUACGCACUGCUUACGUAACUUUACUGGACUAUUUAUUCUACUGUUGUUAUAUUUUUUUCUUCUAUCCACCCUAAGUUUUUUUUAAAUUGCACAAUUCGCAUUUUGCAUUUUUUACUGAUUUAAACUAAAAAUGGAGAAUCAAGAAAGCAAGUACCUCCCGGAGCUCCUCGCAGAGAAGGACAGUCUGGACGUGUCAUUUACGCACGCGAUGAAACUUUUAUCUGCAGAAAUUGAGAGAAUCCAGAAAGGUGAGCCCAAAAAGGAAGGAGGAGACACGUACCUGGACCUUUUCACUGUCAAGAAUAUCAAACUGAAGGAACGCGUGCUCAUACCUGUCAAACAGUAUCCAAGGUUCAACUUUGUGGGAAAGAUCCUUGGCCCUCAGGGCAACACAAUCAAACGCCUUCAGGAGGAGACUGGGGCCAAGAUCUCUGUACUGGGUAAAGGUUCCAUGAGGGACAAAGCCAAGGAGGAGGGUCUGAGGAAAGGUGGUGAGCCCAAGUACGCGCACCUGGCUAUGGAGCUGCAUGUCUUCAUCGAGGUGUUUGCCCCCGUGCCCGAGGCUUACCUACGCAUGGCACACGCCAUGGAGGAAGUCAAGAAGUUCCUCUUUCCUGACAUGAUGGAUGACAUCUGUCAGGAACAGUUCAUGGAGAUGGGUUAUCUGAACGGGGGCCAGGAUCACGGGCCAGGUGCCCCACGAGGCAGAGGAGGACCACCGGGCCCUAGGGGCCGAGGAGGACCACCGGGACAACGAGGAGCACCCAGGGGUAGAGGUAUGCCCCCACGUGGAGGAGGUGCACCCCGCGGCGGGCCAGCCAGAGGCGGGGUAGUGAGGGGGGCACCGGCAGGAAGAGGGGGACCUCCAGCCGCCCCCGCCAGAGGGGCAGCAGCGCCCCGAGCCAGACCCCCUGCCCCUGGGGGACCACCGAGGAUGCCCCCUCCACCCCUCCACCAACACCAGAACCAACAGCACCAACACGCACCUGAACAAUAUGAGGAAUAUGCCUAUGAUGAGAGCUACACAGAGCCAGCGUACGAGUCAUACGACAAUUACUACAGUCAACCACAGGCAGAGCCAGAGUACUAUGAAUAUGGACACGGAGAAGCACAGGAGACAUAUGAACCCUACGCCCAGGACGUCUGGAACGGGGCCCAGAGAGUGGCACCGGGGGGAAAGGUCCCACCUUCCAGAGCGGCUAAGGGCCCUUACCGAGAACACCCCUAUAGACAAUACUGAACUCACCAUGACAACGCCUAGCGACCAACGCUACUACCGUUAACGAGUUGCCCUGACAACCAACCACCAACCUGUCUACCACGGCAACUUUCCCUCUAAGCAACCUUCGAAAAAAGUCCAACUGUUAGUCAGUCAUGGACCAAUCAGAGGGUGGUUUACUGGAGAGAUGACCAAUCAGAGGUCGGCUUACUGGAGAGAUUACCAAUCAGAGGUCGUCUUACUGGAGAGAUGAGACCUUACGCACCUCAGUGAGGUGGUGCAGGAGCAGCAGGGUUCUACAUGACAGAGCUCUGGAUCUCCAUCAGGCUCCACAGUGAAGGACUGACCCAGUAGAGGGCACCAAUACUGGGGGAGAGCAGUCCUGAAGGAGGGCAGGCUGCCAAGAGGACCAGAGAGCAGAUGUAGCCUACAGGGGAGAGAGAAGAGGAGGAGUGAUUCUAGCUACAGGCUAGCCAAACUGUGAGGCUCUGGAUCAGCAUCUGAAUGAGGGGAGAAGAUUCUGGAAUGUGGAUUAUGACACUAACUGUGAAGCUAUGACGCUAACUGUGAAGCUAUGACGCUAACUGUGAAGCUAUGACGCUAACUGUGAAGCUAUGACACUAACUGUGAAGCUAUGACGCUAACUGUGAAGCUAUGACGCUAACUGUGAAGCUAUGACGCUAACUGUGAAGCUAUGACGCUAACUGUGAAGCUAUGACACUAACUGUGAAGCUAUGAUGCUAACUGUGAAGCUAUGACGCUAACUGUGAAGCUAUGACACUAACUGUGAAGCUAUGACGCUAACUGUGAAGCUAUGACGCUAACUGUGAAGCUAUGACGCUAACUGUGAAGCUAUGACGCUAACUGUGAAGCUAUGACGCUAACUGUGAAGCUAUGACCCUAACUGUGAAGCUAUGCUUGUGAUGUCUGUAUGUUUUACUGUGGAGUUUUGAUACUGUACUGCUUAUUCACUGCUAGCACCUUUGAUACUGAGCACUUUUAUAUUGGUUUCUAAUGUGAACAGUUUCCAAGACACGUUACAGUUUCUAGGAAGUGAAACUUCAUUGUUAUGGAAAUGUGCUAUGAAAAUGACCAUCCAGGCUGUAACCAGCUGUGAAAUUGGUUUUAAUUUCCCUUUAAUUGCUUGUCUUAUCCUUUCUUUGAGAUUGAAUCUGUAUCUGUUCUGCUCGAGUCCUCUGCUGCUCGUCACGUCGUUCACACACUGAAUAUCACACACACACACACACACACACACACACACACACACACACACACACACACACACACACACACACACACACACACACACACGCUCCUGCCUCUCCUAUUCCCCCUGAAACCCUC
This is an RNA transcript of Coregonus clupeaformis (lake whitefish), 2700 nucleotides long. It is a transcript of the gene named KH domain-containing, RNA-binding, signal transduction-associated protein 1, with no coding region annotated. Lineage: Eukaryota; Metazoa; Chordata; Actinopteri; Salmoniformes; Salmonidae. The transcript has 11 exons. The record is from RefSeq and is a predicted model, not a curated record.